Molecule: long non-coding RNA, 668 nt
Organism: Impatiens glandulifera
Lineage: Eukaryota; Viridiplantae; Streptophyta; Magnoliopsida; Ericales; Balsaminaceae
Exons: 3
Source: RefSeq, a predicted model, not a curated record
AUGGAUGAAGAACUGCUUUCAUCUUGAAACCAGUUAUUUGGUGUAAAGGUAAUUUAUCUAGGAUAUGUUAAUAAGUUGGAUUUUAAAUAACAAUAAUUGACUGAAUAUUUUGCUUUGUAAUCACAUUACUCAGAUAUGAUGACCUUACAGCUGAAAAUGCUGAAGAGUGGAAUGGAAAAGGAAUCAGAAUCAGCUGGUUUUCUUUUAUUGCACUAUGGACUCAGCCCGGGUCAAAACCAAUUCGGGUGACCAUGACUCUUAUAAGUCUCGGAAUUUCAAUCCAAUCCUUCAAUUUUAGUUGAGUUAUUCUCGAGAUUUUGGGACAAUAACAAUAAUAUACUAACAAGACUUUCAAUUAUGAAGACUAAAAUAGUCAUUCAUCAAGUUCGCCAAGACCCCAACGGAGCAGUAAGGCUAAAGAGAUUAGUGCAUCUUUUUUGUUAGGGGUCGUUUCGGAAAGUGUCAAGCAAAAUGGUCUCGAUCAACACUAGAUGAAGCUGUUGAAGAUUACUAACAUGGAAAGAAGAAUAUGUAUAACAUGUCUAAAGACCAAUUGUGUAAAGGAAUGCUAAAUUGAACUUAAAUAUAUGAGUAUGUGAUUAUAUAUUUACUUUUAAAAGUAUAUUCAUAACAUUCAUGUUAUUAUUGUUCUUUACCAUAAUUAUUGA